UACGUAGGGUGCGAGCGUUGUCCGGAUUUAUUGGGCGUAAAGAGCUCGUAGGCGGUUUGUCGCGUCGGCCGUGAAAUCUCCACGCUUAACGUGGAGCGUGCGGUCGAUACGGGCAGACUUGAGUUCGGUAGGGGAGACUGGAAUUCCUGGUGUAGCGGUGAAAUGCGCAGAUAUCAGGAGGAACACCGGUGGCGAAGGCGGGUCUCUGGGCCGUAACUGACGCUGAGGAGCGAAAGCAUGGGGAGCGAACAGG
This 253-nucleotide ribosomal RNA is filed under the name uncultured bacterium. RNAcentral describes it as "partial 16S ribosomal RNA". It matches the Rfam family "Bacterial small subunit ribosomal RNA", at positions 524 to 776 of the family's 1533-position model. The record is from RNAcentral.